This 292-nucleotide ribosomal RNA is filed under the name uncultured bacterium. RNAcentral describes it as "partial 16S ribosomal RNA". It matches the Rfam family "Bacterial small subunit ribosomal RNA", at positions 505 to 796 of the family's 1533-position model. The record is from RNAcentral.
GUGUCAGCAGCCGCGGUAAUACGUAGGGUGCGAGCGUUAAUCGGAAUUACUGGGCGUAAAGCGUGCGCAGGCGGUUUGAUAAGACAGGCGUGAAAUCCCCGGGCUCAACCUGGGAACUGCGUUUGUGACUGUCUCACUAGAGUACGGCAGAGGGGGGUGGAAUUCCACGUGUAGCAGUGAAAUGCGUAGAGAUGUGGAGGAACACCAAUGGCGAAGGCAGCCCCCUGGGUCGAUACUGACGCUCAUGCACGAAAGCGUGGGUAGCAAACAGGAUUAGAUACCCCCGUAGUCC